UACGGAGGGGGCUAGCGUUGUUCGGAAUUACUGGGCGUAAAGCGCACGUAGGCGGCUUUGUAAGUUAGAGGUGAAAGCCCGGGGCUCAACUCCGGAAUUGCCUUUAAGACUGCAUCGCUAGAACGUCGGAGAGGUAAGUGGAAUUCCGAGUGUAGAGGUGAAAUUCGUAGAUAUUCGGAAGAACACCGGUGGCGAAGGCGGCUCACUGGCCCGUAACUGACGCUCAUGCACGACAGCGUGGGGAUCAAACAGG
RNAcentral lists this ribosomal RNA (253 nucleotides) under uncultured bacterium. Its description in RNAcentral is "partial 16S ribosomal RNA". It matches the Rfam family "Bacterial small subunit ribosomal RNA", at positions 524 to 776 of the family's 1533-position model. The record is from RNAcentral.